RNAcentral lists this ribosomal RNA (1077 nucleotides) under uncultured bacterium. Its description in RNAcentral is "bacterial SSU rRNA". It matches the Rfam family "Bacterial small subunit ribosomal RNA", at positions 57 to 1165 of the family's 1533-position model. The record is from RNAcentral.
GCAAGUCGAACGGAGAUGUAGCAAUACAUUUCAGUGGCGAACGGGUGAGUAACGCGUUGGUGACCUGCCCCGGAGAGUGGGAUACCAGUUCGAAAGGACUGCUAAUACCGCAUACCGUUUUAGGGAUUAGAGGCCUAAAAACGAAAGGAGCAAUUCGCUCCGGGAGGGACCUGCGUCCCAUCAGCUAGUUGGUAAGGUAACGGCUUACCAAGGCGACGACGGGUAGGGGACCUGAGAGGGUGGCCCCCCACAAUGGAACUGAAACACGGUCCAUACACCUACGGGUGGCAGCAGUAGGGAAUAUUGCAUAAUGGGCGCAAGCCUGAUGCAGCAACGCCGCGUGUGCGAUGAAGGCCUUCGGGUCGUAAAGCACUUUUAGCAGGGAUGAGGAAGGACAGUACCUGCUGAAUAAGCCUCGGCUAACUACGUGCCAGCAGCCGCGGUAAAACGUAGGAGGCGAGCGUUAUCCGGAUUUACUGGGCGUAAAGCGUGUGCAGGCGGUUGAGAAAGUUGGAUGUGAAAGCUCCUGGCCUAACUGGGAGAGGUCGUUCAAUACUACUUGACUAGAGAGUGGGAGAGGGAGGUGGAAUUCCGGGUGUAGUGGUGAAAUGCGUAGAUAUCCGGARGAACACCAGUGGCGAAAGCGGCCUCCUGGCCCAUUUCUGACGCUCAUACACGGAAGCUAGGGGAGCGAACGGGAUUAGAGACCCCGGUAGUCCUAGCUGUAAACGAUGUGAACUUGGCGUCGGAGGGUUUAAAUCCUUCGGUGCCGAAGCCAACGCGAUAAGUUCACCGCCUGGGGACUACGGCCGCAAGGUUAAAACUCAAAGGAAUUGACGGGGGCCCGCACAAGCAGCGGAGCGUGUGGUUUAAUUCGAUGUUACACGAAGAACCUUACCAAGGUUUGACAUGCAGAUGGUAGGGAAGGGAAACCGGACCGACCCUUCGGGGAGUCUGCACAGGUGCUGCAUGGCUGUCGUCAGCUCGUGUCGUGAGAUGUUCGGUUAAGUCCGCUAACGAGCCGCCACCCUCGCUGUGUGUUACAAGUGUCACACGGGAACUGCCGGUCUUAAGCCG